Molecule: long non-coding RNA, 10732 nt
Organism: Loxodonta africana (African savanna elephant)
Lineage: Eukaryota; Metazoa; Chordata; Mammalia; Proboscidea; Elephantidae
Exons: 14
Source: RefSeq, a predicted model, not a curated record
UUGAGUUGAAAUGUAAAAUUAUUAAAAGCAAAACAGGAAACAAGUGUUUGCUCAGCCAGCCAUUUCCUAUUGACGGUUCUCUGUGUAAUGUGGUCUGUGAAGGAUUCACUGUUCACCCUUAAACAGAUUGAAAUGAUUCUUGGGGGGAAAUAACACCAAACCCAAGGGCUGUGUGGAAGCAAAGUUCAGCAUCGAGGCCCCCGAGUUGCUGUGGAGAGGCGGCUGUGAAGGCCAGGGGCAUCUCAGAGAUCAUCUCAAGUCAUGGGGCCUGACUUUUGUGAUGAGUGAAAGAAUCCAGGUCUCCUGAUUAAAAGUGCGUGCUUGGAUGUUACUGGGUCCAAAUAUUGGGUCAGCCACAUACUAGCUCUGUGGCCCUGGGCAGGUAUCUGCGAACUGACAUGAAGAACUGAAGAGAAUGCCAGCUUCAGGAUUGUUCCUGAGAGUCAAGUUGUACCAUGACUGUAUUGGCUCAGCAUUGUAGAACUCUUUCUUUCUGGCCGAUUCCAGAUCCGAUGAUGGAAGAAUUUGACCUUCCCAUUUUAAAGACCAGAGACUUGGAAUGGAUCCACUGCAGACAGGAUCUGAACCCUGGGAAGUUGGAGGACCGGUAUCUUUUUUGGAAAGAAGAUAUGGAGAAAAAGCCACUGGCCAGAUCAAUAGCUGCACACCAAGGUACCAGGAGCUGUACUAAUUUGCUCAAGCAAUGAAGCCACAUCUGGACAAGCAGCUGCAAUUGGAGCCACAAACUGUUUAUGCUCGACCUUAGCCUGGACAAUGAAAGAGCAUCGUGUCCCACAGAAGACACUCUGCCGUUGACGGGAUCAGCAUCUUUCAAGAGGCUGGAACCAUGUCCUCGGGCAACACCAAGGCUGAUGUCUUCCGGCUUUAUCUCACCAGAGGGGCAGAGAGAAGAAACUCUCUUCUUAGUUCCAAAACUCCAGGGAAGGACUUUCAUUGGCUUGCUCUGUAUCACAUGACCAGGAAAGCAAAGUUCUGUGUCAGAUAGGGAGAAAGUGAGCGCGAGAGAGGUGUAUGUGUGUGUGUGUGUAUUGGGGGUGGGGGUGUAUUGAAGACCAGACCUUCAAAAGAAAGAGGAGUUCUGGAUAGAUGUCCUCCUUUCUACUAUGUGAAUUUAGGCAAGUUACUUUAUCUUUCUGAGUCUCAGUAAAAUGGGAAUAAUUUCAUAGGAUUAUUGUGAGGAUUAGGUAAAAUAAUGUGUAUGAAACAUUUUGCACAUGGCAAAUAAUCCAGUUAUUGUUGUUAUUAUAGAGUUAAGCAUGUCAUGUUUCCAACUAUAAUGUAAGCUCUCCAAGGAUAGAUGUCCUGUCAACAUCUUAUGCCACUUUUAGCAUCUUAUGAAGCAUCCUUACAUAACAGGCACAUAGAAAAUAUUAAUAAAUACUUAUAUAAUAGCAUCUCUACUUGGGUGCUAAUAUAAAUCAAAUAUAUUGACUCCCUACUUACUGUUUAAUAGGUAGUAGAUACCCACCACAUCCUUGGCCUUAAUGUAGCCAAGAAAUUCUAAUGAGUUGUGUGUUUCUUUGUAGCAAUAAGUUAAGUAAGCAUAGCUGGCCUCCUGUGCACAGACGGAAAAAAAUUUUUUUUUCUUUGAGUUCUGUGUGAUCUUUGUUCUAGAACAGACGUGCAAACAGCCACUUGCUUGGAAUGCGUAUCGUUAGUUUAUGUCUGGCUGGUAGGAACUUCAUUGUUUUUAUUGCCUGUGUUUUACUUGAGGGAGAGACAACUAUUAGUGGGUUGGCCAUUGUUUUGUAUUUAUGUUCAACUAGGGGUUGGAGAAAGACAGGAGGCAGAUUCUCCAAGUCCUGGGGACUAGUAGAAGCUGUUAUCUCUAGUUACUUCUAAAUGACUUAAUCUUUCAGUGAGGAGGCAGCCUGGGCCUUGGAUCCCGGGACUUGCUUUACCUGCUUUUGCUUCCAAACCUUGGAGAAGCAGCAUUCUCUGAUCCCAGGCUCCUCUUUUAUCUUCUCUCUUGCCAAUCAAGGCAGUUCCCACAUCUAAUUUUUAGGACUUGUUCUUUAUUUAAAAAAUUUCCUGUAUUACCCCAGGUAGGUCUAAUAAGUUUUACUAGCUCUCACUCCAAUCUUAGCUUCUGCUACUUAUAUUUCUGGUCAUCAACAUUCAGGUAAGUUAUUUUGUUUGCUUGUUUUGGUCUGUGCCUAUCUUGUUCAGUGGAUUAAAAGCAGUGCCCUUGUAGGGGCAGGGCAGUCCCAGUCCUUCAGCCUCCCUAUGGAACAACAAGACCCUGCUUGGCCCCACUAGGCGUUCAUUCUCAGUGGCUCCAUCUGAAUCCAGUGGUCAGAGUCCUUGUGCCAAGCAGUGACUGACCAGACAGCUUUGACAAUGGCAAGGAAAACUCAGUAAAGCUACUGGCAACUGACCUUCUCAGAGGGAGAAUUCUGUGCUCCUGCUAUGUAAUUUGGGAUUUCUUAUGUCUUCUACGCCAGGAUGGAUUCAAACUUCCUUUGAUUUUUGUCUGAAAGUAUCUGCAUGAACAAUUGUUAUGCUUAAAAUACUCUUUGGUGCACAUGCAGAACCUCUAAAUUAUGUUACGUUGAGCAUUGGAGACACUGAAUUUUUUCCCAUACUUAAUUUUUUGCCUCAAAUCUCACAGAAGCAAUUUCAUUUUCUCCAAACCACCCUCAUUUAUACUUCUCUGAACAAUUUCCUUCCUAGAUUGACAGAGCAAACUGGGGAUUUGCAUAUUUAGAAAUUUUAGUUCCAGGCAACAGAAGUUAACUUAUCUGCGGAUUUACCCGUGGUGUUCAAAGCAACUACUGAUGUAUUUUUUGGCUGCUACUGUACUAGCCACUUAACAUCUGAUCUCAUUUUAGUCCUCAGAACAAAUUAGUAUCAUUUGAUCAUAUGAUCUCCAUGUCCAGGAAACUGAGUCCUAGAAAGGCUAAGUGACUAGCUCAAGAUAACACGGAUAAUAAGUGGCAGAGCCAGGAUUUGGACCUAGGCCUCCUCAGACUGAUGGCCGUGGUGGUGUAGUGGCAGAAUUCUCGCCUACCAUAGGGGAAACCUGGGUUCAAUUCCUGAGCAAUAUACCUCAAGCCCAUCUGUCAGUGGAGGUUUGCAUAUUGCUGUGAUGCUGAACAGAUUUCAGUGGAGGUUCCAGACUAGAAGGAAAGACCUGGCAAUCUAUUUCUGAAAAUCAGCCAGUGGAAACCUUAUAGAUCAUAACAGUCUGAUCCUGUGUGCAUGAAGUCCCCAUGAGCUGGGGGCUCAUGAUGGCAGCUAACAACAAAAACUCCUCAGGCCUAGCCCAAUUCUCUCUUCACUUUACUGCAUUGCUUUUCUUGUUGGCAGGAGAGAGAUUUGGGGGUAUUAUCUCAGUGCCUCUCAAGUCACACCAAACUGGCUUCUGUCUAGCUCCAAGGAGCCAGGCUGCAGUUUUGUGUAUAUAUAUUUGUUCUUCAGAAUGUUGGCCAUAGGACCUUUGGCCUCAAGGCCCUUAUCAUCCCUGUUUACCACUGAUUCUAGCAGACUUGGCCCUCUCUCUCAAUGUGAGUCAUGAGCAACACAGUUCACGAAGUUCUUGUUCGGAAUUCUGAUUACAGAUAACGGAUAAUCUCCCUGAACUGCCUUGAAGGAGAGCCGCUUCUUGGAAGUUGUCUGGGCUUCCAUGGAAUGGCAGAGUGGAACAGAUCUAUGAGGUUUUCUUGUCUGCGGUCUUUGGAAAGGAGCAUCCCCAGGCCUUUCUUCCAUGACUCCGCUUGGAGGGAUCAGUCCCUGGAGAAGGACAUCAUGCUUGGCAGAGUACAUGGUCAGCGGAAAAGAGGAAGACCCUCGACAAGAAGUCAUUAUGGACUAACUCUCACUAGCCCUGUCCAUUAGAGCCCUUGGGCCUCUCGGAACAUCGUGUCCUGUUGUACUUUCUAGGCCCUUGCUACUCAAAGUGCAGUCCCUGACCAGUAGCGUCAGCAUCACCUGGGAGCUUGCCGGGAAUGCAGAAUCUCAGACUCCAUCUGAGGACCUAGUCAGUCAAGAUCUGCAUUUUAACAACAUCCCCAGGGUGGCUCAAACAGUUAAGCACUUGGCUACUAACAAAAAAAGGUUGGUGGUUCAAAUUCACCCAGAGAUACCUCAGAGGAAAGGCCUGGAAAACUACUUCUGAAAGAUCACAGCCAUUGAAAACCCUACGGAGUGCAGUUCUACUUGAAAAAAACAUUGGGUACCCAUAAGUUGGAAUCAACUUGAUGGCAACUGGAUUGUUAUCGACAUUUAUUGUUUUACGUAUGUCAUCUGAUGCAAUUUCCAGAAGAACUCUAACUCUAUGAGGUCACUAGAUCAAAAGAACAUGAAGACUUCCUACAACUCACAGCUUCAAAUAUGAUUUUCAUAAAUCUACCCUAAGAAUGAAGUGGAAUGGGGGACUGUAGAAACUUAGAGCCAGGAAGUGGGCUCAGUCUAAUCCAAACCAGCAUGAAUAUUUAUGUCUGAACUGAGAUACCAUGAGGAAUACUAACUGCUGUUAUCAGAAGAAAGAAUUAAUUUCCUGAAAGGAGAGAGGUAUUCCAGGAUACUUACUUGCUCCUUUGCUUCCCAUAGGAUUCUUUCUCUUGCUCUGAGUCUCUCCUUGUGCAAAGUGGAUGCUCCUGAACUGGAAAUGUGAUUUGCAAAGCAAGGAAUGUAAGAGGACAUUGUGUCCUGUUAUCUUUCUCUUAGUUCAGCCUUCGCCAUAUGCAUAGCAGUGGCAGCACCAGCAAGUCACCGUUAAUGUAUUCCCACUGAUCUCAACUCCCCAGGCGUCAAUGACUCAACUGUUCCAUUGUUUGAAAUGUGCCAUUAACUCUGCUCCCUGAGGAAACAAUGAGGGUGACCCAGGCGGGCAGCUUGAGUACAUACAUAAGUCUUCUCCAACCUCCAAGUUUUAUAGUUACUCUCUAAUGGUGUUGCUAUUUUCUUCCCUUUAAAACACAUAAUCCAAAAAAGUCAUAAAAAUGAAAAAUCAACAGUAACCAUCGCUCUGUGAAGAUUGGGCAAAGGCUAUGAAGCCUCAUAGCAAGGACAGCAUCUUUCAAGGUUUUUGUAUUACAACCCACAUCAGGAAAUAUAUGGCACACUGAACUCAAUAUACAAUACUUAUGUAUACACAAAAAAUGGAGCUCCUGGGUGAUGCAAAUGGUUAAUAUGCUUGGUUGCUAACCUAAAGGUUGAAGGUUCAAGUCUACCCAGAGGUACCACAGAAGAAAGCCCUGGCAACCUACUUCUAAAACAUCAGCCUUUGAAAACCCUGUGAAGCACAGUUCUACUCUGACACACAUGGUGUCACCAUGAGUUGGGGUCGUCAUGAAUUGAAGUCGACUUGACCGCAACUUAUACACACAAAUACACAUAAAUAAAAUGGAAACAAAAUUUUACAAAAUAAUACUUAACCUUACUACUGCUAUUUUCUAUUCUGGGCUAUUUUAAAAAUGCUAUUUGAAAUCUAUUAAUGACUGUGACCUGGUCAGAAAAAGGGCUCCUGGAUCCUCUGAGGGCUGGUGAUUAGUUACAGCUAAUCCACAGUUCCCAUACCACCUUGAACAUUGCAUGUGGGUCCUGAAGAUUAAAUUUGUGCUGAGAAGGGAGAGUAGAAGCCAAGACUUGGGUUCUAGAGCUCUGGUUCAACCUUGAUUUUAUGUAUAUUUCAUUCAGUUGUUGAACAAAUACCUAUUGAACAUUACUAUGUUCAAGAUGGUGGGCAGGGUGAAUUCAUUGAUAACUAGUUUAUUGAGAAACUACUCUGUAUUACACGUUAUCUUAAUUAGUCCUCUUUGCAGUCCCUGAAAGGUAGGUAUUAUUAUUAUCUUGUUUUAUAAAUGAGAAAACUAAGGCUCAGAAAGGUUAAGUGAUCUGGCAGAGAUGGCGUGGUGCUAGAGCCUGUCGGAGAGAAGAACCCACACUUCCCUCUACAAUCUGGUACCUUGGAAACAAGCAAAUAUACACACACAAGCCAUACAUACAAAACAGUUGGCUGCUGACUCUCAGUUUAAAAGUUUAUAUUCUGGUGCCCCUGCAAAUAUUUUAGGAAGACCGCCCUCUAGAAAACCCUGGAAGAGAUGUCUCGGUUUCUGUCCUCCAGCUUCCAGAUUUCCAGGGACUACCUGGACAAAAUUAAUCAGUCACUUGGAGAAGAGCUGUGAGGGCGGAUGGAGCACAGAGCUGAGGUGGUUUCUGGAAUCCUUCUCCCCCUCCCCAUCUCCCAGUGGCUUCAGCUGUCUUCUAACCUCUGGGCUGGAGUGUGGAGUUAGAGGGAGUGGCUGGUAAAUUGCAAGAAAGAAAAUGAGGGUGCAAGGGGCAUAUUGUGGGGAGAAAGCAGUAGGUCAAGUAGGCUGGGAUUCCCCAGAAGUUCUUACCCUCUGAUUUUUACCUCCCUCAGCCACCCAGAAUGCUGUGGUGAAUUUUUCUUUCUUUCUUUUUUAAUUGUGGCCAAUUUUGUAUCCAAUCAACAGCAGCCAAUUCAUGCUACUUAUCAUUUUACAGUCCUCUCUGUUUGAUUUCUCCUUUUACAAGGUACCUUCUCAGUUUAUCUUCAAUCCCCCAAAGACACAGACACAUAGAGGAAGGAAUACUAGUCUUGGGGCUGUUAUUAAAAGUUGUUUGACUUUCUCUUUCUGAAGCUGUCUCUCACUUCUCACCACAUUGUUUUUGGAUAAUGGUGCAGAAGCAUUUUUGCAAAAUAUACAAAGGAAGAAGCCAUUUUCUAGCUGCAACCUGGGGGACCAAAAAUCACUAGCUUACCUUUAUGGUUUUUUAAAAGAAAGAUUCCUUUAGGUGGCUGAGAUACUAAAAUAGCCUUUCUGUUUUCCAAGAAAGCCUAGCAUUGUGGAAACCGGGACUCCAAAAUGAGUUGACUAAUUAAGCCACUGCAUACAGGCCUAUCAGCAAGCAGUACCAGAAAAAAUUAUGACUGGUUCUGCUAAAAUUGUGAGAUUCCCUUUUGAUAACCAAGCCAGUAUGGCUGGAACCCAGUGCAUGGAGAGGACAGUGGUAUGAGUUGAGGUGGGAAAUCUGGGCAGGAUGCUCAUCUUAGAGGGCCUUGAGUAGACUGCAGAAGGACACUGGGCAGUUUCCAAGUGCAGUGUGUUGCUGCUUAAAGUAAACAGGUGCUUGUUUUUCUGGCAACAAUGGGGGAUGGGAUGGGGUGGGAGUGGACUUGGAGGUCACACUGCCUCUUCUGUGUAGGAAGCCUUGUCCAGAUCGGAAGAACUGAUGUUUCAACACUCAGGCCACCAGCUGUUUGAUAACGCAGACCUCUCAUUCUCCUGCCACUGCUCCUGCAGGAUGAGCGCACAGGAGUGAGGAAGUGCUGGGUGCAUGUGCCUAGAGCCUCUGUGCUGGGGAUCUUCUCCUCUUAUAUCCUCGUGACCUGGGACCGCUGCAGAUCUGUUUCCCACUCAGGAAGAAGAGAAAUGGGCUGAUUAGAGAUGGGAGAGGAAACCCAGGCCUAUUUCCAACAAUUAUUCCUAGUUCUCAAAGAAAAUGACUGAAUAAUCACCACCUCCCACAAAGGUGUCCAUGUCCUGAUUCCCUGAAACCAGUGACUAUGUUAUCUUAUAUAGCAAAAGGGACUUUGCAGAUGUGAUUAAGUUAAGUAUCUUGAAAUGGGGAGGUUAUCUUGAAUUAUCCAGGUGGGACCUAAAUGUGAUCACAAGAAUCCUUAUAAAAUGGAAGCAAGAAGGUCAAAGGAGAAAGUAGGAGAUGUGGAGGAUGGAAGCAAAAGGCUGGAGUGAUGUGAGGAAAGGGCUGUGAGCCAAAGAAUGCAGGCAGCCUCCAGAAACUAGAAAAGAGCAGGAAAUAGAUUCUCUCCUAGCACUUCCAGAAGGACCCAGCCCUAGUGAACCUUGACUUUAGCUCAGUGAACCUAGCUUCAGACUUCUGGCCUUCCGAACUGUGAGAAUAAAUUUGUGUUGUUUUAAGCCAGAAAGUUUGUGGUAAUUUGUUAGAGCAGCAACAAGUAACUAAUACAUUCCCUAUUCUCCCGCUUUCCUCAAACUUCCCAAUGGCUUAAUUCAUUCACUCUUAGGGGGCCUCCAGUCUUUUGGGAACAAGAGCAUGGGUACUGAAGCCUCACAGAACUAGUUCCAUUCUGAGCCCAGCCACUUAUCUGUUUGGGUGUCGUUGGUUAAGUCAUUGCCUUUACUCUUCACAUUUAUAAAGUAAGAAGAUAAUGCUUACCUUGCAGAGAGGUUACAUGUUUAAAGACAAUGUACACAAAGCAUUUAGUAAGGCACCUGCCACAUAGCUGGCAUUCAUGCAUGGUAUUGGGAAACUCCAGGGCCAGGAAAGCAGGGUUCAGUCUCUAUUGCCUAGAGCUGGGAAUCUUAGACCUGAGAUUGAUAGGCUGGUAUCCUUUCAGGGGUGGAGGUGUAUUUGAGUGGACUUGGAUGGCACACCACCUCCUCUGUGUAAGAAGUCUCAUGCAGGUUGACAGGGCUGAUGUUUCCACACUGAAAUGCAGGCUGAUGAAGGGCCGUAUUUGGUCUGUGAGCAGAGUGAGCUCCUUUCACUAUGUAGUGCCAUGCUGACCCCAGUUCCCCUACCGGGAAAGAGAUAGUUCCAUCCUUGUCCUUGCCCAGCCCAGCAUGGACAUGCCAAGACUCUAGUCAUUGUAGUUGUCCGUGAGCCAUGAGAACGGGGAGAUGAGAGAGGGAAGACCAUGUGCAAAGCUCCAUGCCACUUCACAACCCUGAUGUGGGUGGAAAGCAAAGCCAUUGGCUAUGGAAGGGCUUCAGCUGUUUGCAUUCCUGCCCACAUAGUGCCUGCUUCUUGGAGAACAGGAAACUAUUUGUGGCAAGGGGAAGGGGACUGUAUGUUCCUAGUUUGGGGCUCUGAAUCUGAUUGACUCCUGGUGAUAGGAGCUGUGGCAGUUGGACAUACCCAGAAGGAAACUUCCAGUGAAACGGCUGUUACCCUUGAGACAAUAUUUUGCGAAAUCAAAAAACAAACAUUCUCUGAAUAUCACCUGAAGAACUGACUUAAAACAAGCUUCGUGUCCAGGAACAUAUCACCUGUCAGAAAACAAGUUCCAUAUAAGGAGUUUCAUUAACCAGGCAUGGCAGGCAGGUGCCCAGACAUGCCUUUUCUGUGGUACAACUCAUCCCUAGGCAGGAGAUCGAUCAGGAACAAGUCCGGCUUGUUCUGUUCUACCAGCCUAAGGCAUUGAAAGCAGGGCUGUCCUUAGUCCAGGAGACCUUCCCCAUCUCUCCAGGGACAGUCUUGCUAAUCCCUCCUAUGGCCGCUGCAAACUUCUCCUUCUUCUAUCCCCAAAUGCAAUGUCCCCACAGGCCUGUUGUUGGUUUGGAAAAUCUAAUACUACAGUCCUAGGAUCUUAGAGUUGGGGAGGUCCUUAGGGUCCACAAAGAAGCAAAACAAAACCCAUCCAACUCACAGCAACCCUAUAGGACAGAGUAGAACUGUCCCAUAGGGCUUCCAGGGAGCAGCUUGUGGAUUCGAUCUACCAACAAUGUGGUUAGUAGCUGAACUUUAAACCACUAUGCCACAGGAGUCCAUACCAUGCCUGUACCAUACUCGAUUCAUAGUAACCCUAUCCGGCAGAGUAGAACUGCCCUAUAGGGUUUCCAAGAAGUGAGUGACUGCUGGAUUCGAACUGCUAACCUUUUGGUUAGCAGCAAUAGCUCUUAACCACUGCUCUACCAGGUCUUCGGAGGAGUCAGUAGACUUACAUAAUUUUACAUGAGGGAAUUGUGCCCAUUGGGUGACUUGCCCAAGGUUACACAGACAAUUAGUGACAGAUCAAGGGUAAGCUCUGAGCUCUGCUAAAUCCUGGUCUAUGCUCUCACCCUGCAGCAUGCUGAGCCAUGACUUCAGACCCUUUAGAUGUCAAUGCUAAAAUGCAAUGGCAUUUAGCUGAUCAGAUUAACCAAGUGACCCCUAGCACAGAGCAGGUGCAAAGAGCUGAAUAUAUUUUUUGAGGCUUGAAGGGUUUGGCAGUGAAGUAUUGCUACGGGAGCAAGGGGCCUAUAAAGCCCUGUGCCAAAGCCAAAUCUUGCCCUGAGUUUGUUGGGUGGCAAAAUUUCUGGUGUCUUUAUUCUCAGACCAUUUUCUGUUCUAAUCACUAGUGAAUCAGGUACAUUCUAGAGCUUCAAAGUCAAACAGGUACAGAUUCUAGACUUACCUAAAUUUUCAGAGGAGGAAAGGCCUUAGGUACUAUUUAGUCCAACUGCUUCCUUUUUUACAGAUGGAGGCAAAUGGAGACUCCAAAGAGGUUAAGUGAUUUGUCUACAGCAGUGUUACCCAGUAGAGCUUUCUGCAAUUUUGGAAAUGUUCUAUAUCUGUAUUGUUCAAUGUGGCAACCACUAGCCUCAUGUUGCUAUUGAUUUCUUAAAAUGUGACUAGUGCUAUUAAGGAAUCCUUGGAUAGUUCAAAUGGUUGAUGCAUUUGGCUGAAAACCAAAAGGUUGGAGGUUUAAGUCUACCCAGAGGUGCCUCAGAAGAAAGGCCUGGCAAUCUACUUCCAAACAAUCAGUCAUUGAAAACCCUAUGAUCUCCAUAAUAAAAAAAAAAGAAAACCCUAUGAAGGACAGUUCUACAUAUGGAGUUUCCAUGAGUUGAAGUUAACUCAACAGGAACUAUUUUUUUUUAUUUGUUUGUUUUAAUGCUACUGAGGAACUAAAUAUUUUGCUGUAUUUAAUUUUAAUUCAUUUAGAUUUAAAUUGACACAUGUGGCUAGUGACUACCAUAUUGAACAGUGUAGGUCUAAGGUC